This 571-nucleotide ribosomal RNA is filed under the name Wickerhamomyces siamensis. RNAcentral's name for it is "eukaryotic LSU rRNA". It matches the Rfam family "Eukaryotic large subunit ribosomal RNA", at positions 62 to 648 of the family's 3401-position model. Lineage: Eukaryota; Fungi; Ascomycota; Saccharomycetes; Phaffomycetales; Wickerhamomycetaceae. The record is from RNAcentral.
AAACCAACAGGGAUUGCCUCAGUAACGGCGAGUGAAGCGGCAAAAGCUCAAAUUUGAAAUCUAGCACCUUCGGUGUUCGAGUUGUAAUUUGAAGAUGGUAACCUUGGGUUUGGCUCUUGUCUAUGUUCCUUGGAACAGGACGUCAUAGAGGGUGAGAAUCCCGUCUGAUGAGAUGCCCAUUCCCUUGUAAGGUGCUAUCGAAGAGUCGAGUUGUUUGGGAAUGCAGCUCUAAGUGGGUGGUAAAUUCCAUCUAAAGCUAAAUAUUGGCGAGAGACCGAUAGCGAACAAGUACAGUGAUGGAAAGAUGAAAAGAACUUUGAAAAGAGAGUGAAAAAGUACGUGAAAUUGUUGAAAGGGAAGGGCAUUAGAUCAGACUUGGUGUUUUACGAUUAUCUUCUCUUCUUGAGUUGUGCACUCGUAUUUCACUGGGCCAGCAUCGAUUCGGAUGGUAAGAUAAUAGCAGUUAAAUGUGGCUCCCCUCGGGGAGUGUUAUAGUUUCUGUUGAUAUUGCCUGUCUGGAUCGAGGGCUGCGUCUUUUGACUAGGAUGCUGGCGUAAUGAUCUAAUGCCGC